UACGUAGGCAGCGAGCGUUGUUCGGAGUUACUGGGCGUAAAGGGUGUGUAGGCGGUUGUUUAAGUUUGGUGUGAAAUCUCCCGGCUCAACUGGGAGGGUGCGCCGAAUACUGAAUGACUCGAGUGCGGGAGAGGAGAGUGGAAUUCCUGGUGUAGCGGUGAAAUGCGUAGAUAUCAGGAGGAACACCGGCGGUGUAGACGGCUCUCUGGACCGUAACUGACGCUGAGACACGAAAGCGUGGGGAGCAAACAGG
Molecule: ribosomal RNA, 253 nt
Filed under: uncultured bacterium
Lineage: Bacteria
Description: partial 16S ribosomal RNA
Rfam family: Bacterial small subunit ribosomal RNA
Source: RNAcentral